RNAcentral lists this transfer RNA (71 nucleotides) under Marmota monax (woodchuck). RNAcentral's name for it is "tRNA.Val". It matches the Rfam family "tRNA". Rfam says of the family: Transfer RNA (tRNA) molecules are approximately 80 nucleotides in length. Their secondary structure includes four short double-helical elements and three loops (D, anti-codon, and T loops). Further hydrogen bonds mediate the characteristic L-shaped molecular structure. tRNAs have two regions of fundamental functional importance: the anti-codon, which is responsible for specific mRNA codon recognition, and the 3' end, to which the tRNAs corresponding amino acid is attached (by aminoacyl-tRNA synthetases). tRNAs cope with the degeneracy of the genetic code in two manners: having more than one tRNA (with a specific anti-codon) for a particular amino acid; and 'wobble' base-pairing, i.e. permitting non-standard base-pairing at the 3rd anti-codon position. The record is from RNAcentral. Lineage: Eukaryota; Metazoa; Chordata; Mammalia; Rodentia; Sciuridae.
GGGGUUGUGGCUCAGGGGUAGAGAGCUUGCCUGACAUGCAUGAGGCACUGGGUUCGAUCCUCAGCACCACA